GUGAGGAAUUUUCCGCAAUGUGCGAAAGCCUGACGGAGCAAUGCCGCGUGAAGGAUGAAGGCCUAUGGGUUGUAAACUUCUUUUCUCAGAAAAGAAUUAUGACGGUAUCUGAGGAAUAAGCAUCGGCUAACUCUGUGCCAGCAGCCGCGGUAAGACAGAGGAUGCAAGCGUUAUCCGGAAUGAUUGGGCGUAAAGCGUCUGUAGGUUGUUUAAAAAGUAUUCUGUCAAAGAUUAGGGCUUAACCCUAGAUAGGCAGAAUAAACUUUUAAGCUAGAGUUUGGUAGAGGCAGAGGGAAUUCCCGGUGGAGCGGUGAAAUGCGUAGAUAUCGGGAGGAACACCAAAGGCGAAGGCACUCUGCUGGGCCAAUACUAACACUGAGAGACGAAAGCGAGGGGAGCAAAUGGGAUUAGAUACCCCAGUAGUCC
RNAcentral lists this ribosomal RNA (426 nucleotides) under uncultured bacterium. RNAcentral describes it as "partial 16S ribosomal RNA". It matches the Rfam family "Bacterial small subunit ribosomal RNA", at positions 354 to 796 of the family's 1533-position model. The record is from RNAcentral.